UGAUUCUUAGCUCAGCGGUAGAGCACUCGCCCGAUAAGCGAGAUGUCACUGGUUCGAAUCCAGUAGAAUCAACCA
This 75-nucleotide transfer RNA is filed under the name Herbiconiux daphne. RNAcentral describes it as "tRNA-Ile". It matches the Rfam family "tRNA". From Rfam's summary of the family: Transfer RNA (tRNA) molecules are approximately 80 nucleotides in length. Their secondary structure includes four short double-helical elements and three loops (D, anti-codon, and T loops). Lineage: Bacteria; Bacillati; Actinomycetota; Actinomycetes; Micrococcales; Microbacteriaceae. The record is from RNAcentral.